RNAcentral lists this ribosomal RNA (1170 nucleotides) under Salmonella enterica subsp. enterica serovar Hadar str. RI_05P066. RNAcentral's name for it is "bacterial LSU rRNA". It matches the Rfam family "Bacterial large subunit ribosomal RNA", at positions 890 to 2043 of the family's 2925-position model. Lineage: Bacteria; Pseudomonadati; Pseudomonadota; Gammaproteobacteria; Enterobacterales; Enterobacteriaceae. The record is from RNAcentral.
UCAUCUCCGGGGGUAGAGCACUGUUUCGGCUAGGGGGCCAUCCCGGCUUACCAACCCGAUGCAAACUGCGAAUACCGGAGAAUGUUAUCACGGGAGACACACGGCGGGUGCUAACGUCCGUCGUGAAGAGGGAAACAACCCAGACCGCCAGCUAAGGUCCCAAAGUCAUGGUUAAGUGGGAAACGAUGUGGGAAGGCCCAGACAGCCAGGAUGUUGGCUUAGAAGCAGCCAUCAUUUAAAGAAAGCGUAAUAGCUCACUGGUCGAGUCGGCCUGCGCGGAAGAUGUAACGGGGCUAAACCAUGCACCGAAGCUGCGGCAGCGACGUUUAUGCGUUGUUGGGUAGGGGAGCGUUCUGUAAGCCUGUGAAGGUGGCCUGUGAGGGUUGCUGGAGGUAUCAGAAGUGCGAAUGCUGACAUAAGUAACGAUAAAGCGGGUGAAAAGCCCGCUCGCCGGAAGACCAAGGGUUCCUGUCCAACGUUAAUCGGGGCAGGGUGAGUCGACCCCUAAGGCGAGGCCGAAAGGCGUAGUCGAUGGGAAACGGGUUAAUAUUCCCGUACUUGGUGUUACUGCGAAGGGGGGACGGAGAAGGCUAUGUUGGCCGGGCGACGGUUGUCCCGGUUUAAGCGUGUAGGUGUGUGUUCCAGGUAAAUCCGGUUCACUUUAACACUGAGGCGUGAUGACGAGGCACUACGGUGCUGAAGCAACAAAUGCCCUGCUUCCAGGAAAAGCCUCUAAGCAUCAGGUAACAUCAAAUCGUACCCCAAACCGACACAGGUGGUCAGGUAGAGAAUACCAAGGCGCUUGAGAGAACUCGGGUGAAGGAACUAGGCAAAAUGGUGCCGUAACUUCGGGAGAAGGCACGCUGACACGUAGGUGAAGUGAUUUACUCAUGGAGCUGAAGUCAGUCGAAGAUACCAGCUGGCUGCAACUGUUUAUUAAAAACACAGCACUGUGCAAACACGAAAGUGGACGUAUACAGUGUGACGCCUGCCCGGUGCCGGAAGGUUAAUUGAUGGGGUCAGCGCAAGCGAAGCUCCUGAUCGAAGCCCCGGUAAACGGCGGCCGUAACUAUAACGGUCCUAAGUAGCGAAAUUCCUUGUCGGGUAAGUUCGACUGCACGAAUGGCGUAAUGAUGGCCAGGCUGUCUCCACCCGAGACUCAGUGAAAUU